GAUGAAUAACGUAGCGAAAUGCGAUAAGUAAUGUGAAUUGCAGAAUUCAGUGAAUCAUCGAAUCUUUGAACGCACCUUGCGCUCCUUGGCAUUCCGAGGAGCAUGCCUGUUUGAGUGUCAUUAAAUUCUCAAGACCUGUCUGCUUUUUUGAUAGGUAUUGGAUUUUGGGGGUUGCAGGCUGUUUCAAAUAAAUAGCCUUGCUCUCCUUGAAUGUAUUAGUGGAGAAAAGCCAUUGAACUCCAUUGGUGUGAUAAAACCUAUCAAUGCCAGGAGCAAUAUCACUACUUCUCUCUGCUGUCUAACUGUGACUGUCUGUAUUAAUUAGUAUGGAUGGGGACAACUUGACCAACUUGACCUCAAAUCAGGUAGGACUACCCGCUGAACUUAAGCAUAUCAAUAAGCGGAGG
Molecule: unclassified non-coding RNA, 407 nt
Filed under: soil metagenome
Description: partial contains 5.8S ribosomal RNA, internal transcribed spacer 2, and large subunit ribosomal RNA
Rfam family: 5.8S ribosomal RNA (bases 1-120)
Source: RNAcentral